Molecule: ribosomal RNA, 468 nt
Filed under: uncultured bacterium
Lineage: Bacteria
Description: partial 16S ribosomal RNA
Rfam family: Bacterial small subunit ribosomal RNA
Source: RNAcentral
GACGAACGCUGGCGGCGUGCUUAACACAUGCAAGUCGAACGGAAAGGCCCUGCUUUUGUGGGGUGCUCGAGUGGCGAACGGGUGAGUAACACGUGAGUAACCUGCCCUUGACUUUGGGAUAACUUCAGGAAACUGGGGCUAAUACCGGAUAGGAUCUCCUGCUGCAUGGUGGGGGUUGGAAAGUUUCGGCGGUUGGGGAUGGACUCGCGGCUUAUCAGCUUGUUGGUGGGGUAGUUGCUUACCAAGGCUUUGACGGGUAGCCGGCCUGAGAGGGUGACCGGCCACAUUGGGACUGAGAUACGGCCCAGACUGCAACGGGAGGCAGCAGUGGGGAAUAUUGCACAAUGGGCGGAAGCCUGAGGCAGCAACGCCGCGUGCGGGAUGACGGCCUUCGGGUUGUGAACCGCUUUCGCCUGUGACGAAGCGUGAGUGACGGUAAUGGGUAAAGAAGCACCGGCUAACUACGUG